CGGAUGGGAUGGAUCGAUGGACGGAUGGAUGGACUGAUGUUUGCCAGGUCAUCGAUCCAAGCCACUAGUGAUUCCACCAAUCAGAAUUAAGCUUCAAUGGUUUUGUUUUUUCUUUUAUUUCUCUUAUAAUUUUCACCCUCUAAUUCAGGGUAAACAUUCAACAUAUUAACCACUUAUAGUUUGCUAAAAUGAACCAAUAGUGUGCACAUGUCUGUAUCUUGGGAUGACAAACAAUGUUGAUUUGGGAGGUUUUCAUUUUCUUUGAUCAAAAGAACCAUUUUUCAUUUUCUGAGUGACCAAAAUGUGUUUUUUUGUGAAGAACCUACCAUAUGUUUCUUGCAAAAUUGUACCAAAUCAUUUUUCUAAAAUACUAGGCCAUAUUUAAUGCACAUUUGAUGAAAUGGUUGGCUGUAAAAAGUUUUGAUCGACCUCUCGUGAAAAAGAAAACUUCCCACCGAUUCAGCUGGAAGCGGGUCAAAUUUGAACUGUAGCUACCUUAUAGUUUGCUCUUUAUUUUUUCCAAAAAUCAUUUCUAGGUACAUAAGUAUCUAUUUAAUCAAAGAAACACCAAAAAAAUUCCAAGAUUCAACCACUAGCUAGGAACGGUCAUUCCCGCCGUUUUGACCGCAUUUUGAAACGGGCAUAAAAAAUUCAAAAAAAUCAAAAAAAUGGAAAACCUUCGCAUUGCGUCAUUAUAUGUGACCAAGUUUCCAGGAAAAAUAAUAAACUUGUAAUACGGAAAUUAUUUUAGAAAAGUGUUCUCAUAAAUGAGCUAUCAUGUGUGAAGAUUCAUGGAUUUCAACCCAAACGCUCAAUCUCAUGGUCACAUUCAUGGCAUAGUUUGUUCAAAUGAUCUCAUAUUGUGCACAAGGGUGCAUAUUGGAAUUCCAAACAAUGUUGCCAAAGGGAGUUUUCAUUUUCUUUGCACGGAAAAUUCAUUUUCCAUUUUUCGAGUGCCCAAAAUGAGGUUUUUUUGUGAAGGACCUACCAUAUAUUUGUUGCAAAAUUGUACCAAAUCAUUUUUAUAAAAUAUUAGGACAUAUUUAAUGCACAAUUGACAAAAUGGUUGGGUGUAAAAAGUUUUGAUCCACCUCUGGUGAAAAAGACAAAUUCCCGCCAAUUCAGUUGGAAGCGGGUCAAAUUUGAACUGCAGCUGCCUCAUAGUUUGCUAUUUAUUUUUUCCAAAAAUCAUUUCUAGGCACAUAAGUAUCUAUUUAAUCAGAGAAACAUCAAAAGUUUUCCAAGAUUCAACCACUAGCUAGGAACGGUCA
This 1271-nucleotide long non-coding RNA is filed under the name Triticum aestivum (bread wheat). RNAcentral describes it as "long non-coding RNA (TAES_LNC002479)". Lineage: Eukaryota; Viridiplantae; Streptophyta; Magnoliopsida; Poales; Poaceae. The record is from RNAcentral.